AAAAAACAUAGAAAUGUAAUGCUUGAUAGAUCACUUAGAAUAUUUGAUAUUACUUAAUAAAAAAUCAGUUUUUUAUGAAACUGUGUAAUCAGUAUACAUAAUAAAUGAAAAUCAUGUACAAUAGUAAAAUAUGGAGACAGACCAUUGCUACAACCAAGCAAGCCAUGUCAUCAGAACUUUGGAGAUGUAUUACAAUAAUAAGAGGAG
RNAcentral lists this long non-coding RNA (207 nucleotides) under Mytilus galloprovincialis (Mediterranean mussel). The record is from RNAcentral. Lineage: Eukaryota; Metazoa; Mollusca; Bivalvia; Mytilida; Mytilidae.